AAAUCAGGGCACCCAGUGGCCGCUGCCAGGCUGAGCUAUGGAGCCAGAGCAGCUGGAAACGGCCUCCCGUGGGCCGAGUUAGGCGAGAGAGCCUGGUGGUGAAACCGACCUGGGGCCCAGCCCUAUGGAGCUCACAGUCUGGUGGGGAAGUCUAUGAAACAAGUGUACAGUCACCAAUUGUGAUAAGCUCAAAAGAGAGAGGUGUGAACCAUAGGCGGGAACAG
Molecule: long non-coding RNA, 224 nt
Filed under: Homo sapiens (human)
Lineage: Eukaryota; Metazoa; Chordata; Mammalia; Primates; Hominidae
Description: non-protein coding lnc-CIB3-6:3
Source: RNAcentral